AGAGCGAACGCUGGCGGCAGGCCUAACACAUGCAAGUCGAACGGACUCUUCGGAGUUAGUGGCGGACGGGUGAGUAACACGUGGGAACGUGCCUUUAGGUUCGGAAUAGCUCCUGGAAACGGGUGGUAAUACCGAAUGUGCCCUUCGGGGGAAAGAUUUAUCGCCUUUAGAGCGGCCCGCGUCUGAUUAGCUUGUUGGUGAGGUAAUGGCUCACCAAGGCUACGAUCAGUAGCUGGUCUGAGAGGAUGACCAGCCACAUUGGGACUGAGACACGGCCCAAACUCCUACGGGAGGCAGCAGUGGGGAAUCUUGCGCAAUGGGCGAAAGCCUGACGCAGCCAUGCCGCGUGUAUGAUGAAGGUCUUAGGAUUAGUAAAAUACUUUCACCGGUGAAGAUAAUGACUGUAGCCGGAAGAAGAACGCCCGGAUAACUCGUGCCAGCAGCCGC
Molecule: ribosomal RNA, 447 nt
Filed under: uncultured soil bacterium
Lineage: Bacteria
Description: bacterial SSU rRNA
Rfam family: Bacterial small subunit ribosomal RNA
Source: RNAcentral